Molecule: long non-coding RNA, 603 nt
Filed under: Nicotiana benthamiana
Lineage: Eukaryota; Viridiplantae; Streptophyta; Magnoliopsida; Solanales; Solanaceae
Description: long non-coding RNA (NBEN_LNC004989)
Source: RNAcentral
AAAAAUUCCGAGAGUACCAAGUGGGUCGGAAAAAUGGGGUGAGAAAGCUGUCCAAAAGAAGCUGGCGAAAAAAGUACCCGGAAGUGGGCUCACGCGCGCGGCGCGUGUGGGGUAACGGCGGCGCGUGGGCGGCGCGUGGGCGCCCGUGCUGUGGUUUCCGGCGACGAAAUUUUCAGAAAAUGUGCGCCAGACACUGUGUGUCACAAUGGUGUGGGAGGUGAGUCCAAGAAACUCCCGAGGGAUGUCGAAACACUGUCGGAACAGUGUUCCGGGCAGUGGGGGUAAGGGGGGAGAAGGUGGGGUAGUGACACUUACCUGGUGGUUACCUGGGGGUGCCGGCGACCCGCCCGGUGGUGGUGGUGGAGCUGGUGGUGUGAGCUUAGAGAGAGAGAAGAGAAGAGAGAGAGGGGGAAAGAGCCGUUAACUAAUACCAACUAAAACUCAGUUCCUGCUGACUCACAAAAAGAAAAUAGUUAAGUGAUUUGGUUCGUUUGAGUUUUUUUCUAACCUUUCUAUUACCUGUUAUUGAGUUUUGGAAACAGAGUAAUAUGGGGAAAGAAAGAGAAGAUAAAAAAGUCCUACGUGAGAAUAAACAUAAUCUUG